Molecule: long non-coding RNA, 7646 nt
Organism: Equus caballus (horse)
Lineage: Eukaryota; Metazoa; Chordata; Mammalia; Perissodactyla; Equidae
Source: Ensembl
CCAAAUUCCUGCGGCUCCCUCGGUUCUCUGCCCUGUUGACAGAGGAGGCAGACUCUGGAUCUGACCGGCCGACCCGAGGGCACCCCACUCCACGUCUCAGAUUUCCCGUUCGUUCCCCUAGUCCCUAGUACCCUUAAUACCGCGGACUCAUGGGGCAACCUCCAGCCUCGGCAAGUACCGCAGCCCUGGGGACCUGGCGCUCCCCGCACCCGGAGACCUCUUGCCCUGCAGAAAAGGACGACACCCACCUCACCCUCGCAGCAACCCCCUUCUACACCCGCCUCCACGGAACCCUGAUCCUGGCUCCCCUUCUCUCCGACCCCAGGUAUCCAGGGGGUGUGGCAGUCCUGGGAUGUUGGGGCAAGAGGAAGAAGGGCGUUGCUCCCGGAGUUUCAAGGAAGAGAAACAGAUGGGAAGGAGUCGGGAGAGAAACCGAGGUGGAAGCCGAAGAGUGUGGAAUGGACCUGGCUUCUCUUCUGGUUCCAGGGGCUCCUGGGAUCGCGCUCCUCCUUCUCCCCAGCCCUCACCAUCCGGCAGCCUCUUCUGCCUCUGUUCCGCCGCCCUCUGGCUUCACUAUGGAACCCCCUGCGGCCCCUGGCCCCCUAUCUCUCCCCUCUGGGGCCCCUCUAUCCCUCCUCGGCUCCCCAGUCGACACCUUCGCCCCGCCCUGCAGUUCUCUCCACUUCUCACAUUUCUCCUCCUGCCCCCUCUCUCUACCCUCCUCUGUCCCAUGACUAUGAAUUUCACAGAGAAGCCUGUUUAUUUAGGUGACACCAAGUGGGAGACACACGAAACCGUUUCCCUAGGUAAGUCUCUUCUACCCACCCAGAAGGAAAAAUAACUACUUUUCCCUGAAGGGGCAUUCUCCUUUCGGAUGCCGGCAGGGGCUGGGGGUGGGGGUUGGGGGGGAGGGGGGCGCGGGAGGGCCAGGGAGCUCCAAUUCUGUUCCACCCCUGGCUCCACCGGGUUAGUUCGGUCCCUCAAUUGGGGCUGCAUGUACAGGUUAGGCAAAGUGAAAGAUACAAAGUAUACAAAAGGGAAUUCGACUACUUUGUUGAGGAACAAAAUACAUGUAAGAGAAUAUCCACAUUGCAAAGGAGCAAUGUGGAGAAAGAAGGAAAGGUUGAUGCUAGAAUGGGACAGACCUGAGUGGGGAUCUUUGCCCAGCGACUUGCAAACUGAGCGACCUUGCACAAGAAACUCUGGAAGUGGGGCCAACAAUUGUGUGUUUUGUUUUAAUGCUGUGUUUUUGUGGGGGGGGCGGGGAGAUUAGCCCUGAGCUAACAUCUGCCGCCAAUCCUCCUCUUUUUGCUGAGGAAGACUGGCCCUGAGCUAACCUCCGUGCCCAUCUUCCUCUACUUUAUAUGUGGGAUGCCUGCCACAGCAUGGUUUGCCAAGUGGUGCAUAGGUCCCUACCCAGGAUCCGAACUGGCGAACCCGGGCCCGCAGAAGCAGAACGUGCGAACUUAACCACUACGCCAUCAGUUGGCCCCAGCAGUUGUGUCUUAACAAGCCCUCCUGGUGAUUUCUGAUAUGCCCUAGGCUGAAAACCACUGCCCGAGAUGUUCCGUGACAUAUUAGCUCCCUUCUUCAUAGGGUGAAUGGCUUCUGAGACCCCAAACCGGAACAGACCAUGUGUCUGAAUGCAGAAGCUGAGCCCCAGAGCCCAGGGCCCCAGGAGCCUGAGAGAAAGUGCCCUAAGGAGACCCCUGCCAGGCAGGCGGGGAGCAAAGGAAGAGGAGAAGGCAGGACAGAUCUCCAGCUCCCUAUCUUCUGUGGGACCCUUUGACCCCUCAGCUGUCACAACUGACCUUUUCCAACUUCUCCUACCAGAGGCCCCACCCCCCACCAUGAAGCCCCUUUCCAGCCUGGAAUGUGAACUCCCCUUUCCGUGCCCCAAAUGUGGGAAGCGCUUCAGCCAGGGGGCCCAGCCUGACCCUGUACCUACACUCCCACACAGGUGACAGGCCCUGCUCCUGCAGCCGGUGUGGCCACAGCUCCUACCUGCCCCAGCCCCCGACACACAUGCCCACCAGUGUAGCAAGGGCUUCUCCCCAGAGCUCUGGCCGGCUGCAGCACACCACUGUUCACACAGGCACAUGGCCCUACGUCUGUGUCACCUGUGGAUGGGGUUCAGGAGCCACCCAGCCUCGUCUAUCGUGAGAAGACUCACUUAGUGAGCACAGCUUCCCCUGCCCCGAGUGUGGCAAGCACUUCACCCAGAGUGUCCGCUGAGCCCAGCACCUACGGACGGAUGCUCACAGGGGAGAAGCCCUACCUGUGCGGCUAGUGUGGCCAUGGCUUCAGCCAGCACCCCUGGCUCGUGGCCCACCAGUGGGUCCACCACUUGGUUCCUCUGCUGUCCCUGCCGGCCCACACCUGCUAGGUGUGCUCUUCCCUCGGGUGCGGGCAGUAGCCUGCUGCCACACAGUGCAGCACAUGAGAAGCCCUUCUUCUGCCCCCAGUAUCCCGAGGGCUCUGGCUACUCCAACCUGCAACACCACCAGCAGGACCACGGGGGGAGCGGCCCCACCACUGUGACCAGUGCAGCAAGGGCUUCAGACAGAGCUCAGGGCUGUGUGGCACCAGGGAGUCCACAGGGGCAAGACUGCGAGUGCAGUUUCCGGUCCAGCUCCGGCCUGGCGCAGCACCUGCAGGGCCGCUCUGGGGACAGGCCCUUCUGCUCUGGCGGCUGUGGCUUCACUCAGAGUCCCCAUCGACCUUGACAACAGGCCAGGGCUGGUGAGGAGCACAGGGAUGAACAUGGAGGGGGGGGACAUCUGGAGGCCAAGUCAAGGCCCCUGUGGGGAGCCAGCCCCCCAACUCCACAGCACUCUAGGAGGGUAGAGGGGCAGUUGGAAUGACUGCCUCUUCUGUGGGAGGCAUAAUGGAGCACAGCUUCCACCACACCCCAGCCAGAGCAACUUUCAGAGCAACCACAUUGGGUGGCCAGAGUGUCUCUGCUGGACCUACUCAAAGCUGGAAUGGCCAGGUCCACCUCACUUCUAGUCCAACGUGCCAGUUCCCCAGAGAGCUCCCGGCCUGGGAAAGAGCUCUCCCUGUUUCUUAGAAAGGACUCUGUACUUCUGAUCUUCUGUCCUCCGUCUGAGACAUUUAACCAGGAUGUCUGGGUCCUGCUGCCUCAUGGAUGGAUCCGAUUCCCUGGGAUUUUUUUGAAGGGAUCAUUUCAAAGAGAUAACUGAAUCCCCAUAGAUCUCCAUGACAACGCCCACCAUCAAAUCCUAGUCCCCCACUAACCCCUCCAACCCUCUCAUUUCCCCCGAGGCUUCUGGAUGCUUCUUGCCUCUGGUGCUAAAGCUACACCCAGCACACCUGUCUGAUGCUGCCAUCUCCCUAUGCCUACUCCUGGCCUUGCUAGGCCCUGUUUCAGGACCCCAGGGCUUCCUAAAACCUUCAUUGCACUUCAGUCUAGGAAUAAAGCCCAGAUGGAGGCUGCUCUUUCCAGCUGUACAGAGGCCUCCUAUUGAAAGGUGCAAAAGGGCAGAGGCAGGUGUCCAAGGAGAGGGCAGGGAUGUGGAGGAGAUGGAGACCGGAGGAAAAGCCAAAGGAGUUUGGAGGAGAAAGUGGGAGGUUCUGGAAUGUGGAGAAAAGACAGCAGGGCUGUGUGAGACAAGACCCACAAGAAACAUCUCAGAAAAACUUAGAAACAAAUGUCUUCAGGUACGAACAUCCCCGGGGAACCACUCAUUUCUUCUUCAGUUGACAAGUUUCCCCCAGUGUUGUGAAGGCACUGAGUUGCCAACACAAGCACUUCAUGUCCUGCCAUUUGCACUUUUUCCACAAAAUUGCUUGCUAACUGUCUUCUUCGUGUGUUGGCAAACUGAUUUUGAACAAAGAGUCAGGAGGGAGUCCCACAGCAGAGUCCCUUCCAGACUGGUGCCCCUGGCCCAGCCUGGCACUGAGGAGAGCGCUGUCAUCAUUCACCCUUUUAGAAGGUUCUGCUGGGGGAGUCACUCCCUGGCAACACUCACAGCAAGUUUAUGGUUACUGUUCAUGUUAAAGGAUAAGGUAGACCUCAGCUCUUGUAUUAACUUCCCCCAAAGUAUACUCUUUAGAACUGGGCAGAGUCCUCCCUAGGAGGUAUCAGAGGCUGAUUACUGACACACACACGAAGGAAUUAAAGAACUGGAGGGAUAAAAGGGUCACUGAGAGACUGCUAAUCAGUUUCACCCUUUCAGGAAAUAUGUAUUGAGUCCACCACGUGUCAGGGACUGUUCUGGGACCUGGGUAUUACAAACAGGCAUAUGAUGCAGCCCCCGCCUUCCACCGAUUUGAUCUAGGCGUGUUCAGCAUCUCAAUAUUGAACCCAGCAUCUAGUCCUAUCAAUUGUAUCCACUAUACUCUCUCAAGUAUGUCGUCUCUUUCCCACCCCUCCACCUCCCUUGUCCAGCUACCACCUGGACCAUCUGGUUCUCCUCUGAAUCAUCGUGAUGGCUGGAGAGGCUGGGAAUGGCGUUCUCUGUGAGCAGCACACCUGAGUAACAGAGGCCUCUUUGAAAUGUAAAUCUGAUUGUUUCAGGCACCCUGCUGAAGCCCAUUCAAUGGUUUCCCAUUGAUCUCAGGUUAAAGACCCCAGUCCUUAACCUGGCCUUUAAAGCUCUGCGAGGUGUGGCCGUGUCGGCCUCUCCAGCCUCAUCUCCCACCACUCACUCCUCUCUCCCUCGCGCAGAGCGCUCCACUUCCUGUCGGUGUCCCGCUUCCUCCCGCAGAGAGCGGCGGCCAGGCUGGGCCCUCCUCCUGAGAGGUGCUUUCUUCCAUUUCUCUCUUAGCUCCUCAUUCUUCGGAUCUCAGCUCCUUUACCACAUCCUUAGGGAAGGUACCCUAUCCUUUCCUUCAGGGUCCAAUUCCCUCCUCUGGGCUCCCACACCAAGGUGCACCUUUCUUGGAGGCACUUGGCACAGUUCAGUUCCAUAUUUGUUGGUGAUUAUUUGAUUGAUGUCUGUCUCCCCACAGACUGUAAGCUCCCUGAGGGUGGGCACCACGACUGCAGAGGCUCACUCUUGCUAUUCCCUGGAAACUCCAUAAAUAUUGAAAUAUUGGUUGAAUGGGUGCACAUGCGCCAGGAUCUGCGGCAGAGGCUAGAUAUUUCAGGAUUUCAGAGAGGGUGGAUUGAGGCCGUAAUUUCCCUCCAGCGGCUGCCGCCCAAGAGUCCCAUAUGCCAUUUCCUUAGCACCAUUCCUUUCUCCAUGUUUCCUGGUGUCAUCCAUCUUCCCAGCUCCACCUCUCCGGCACCCUCCUCACCUCCACCUUGCCUAGGAGAACCUUUCUCCCUUUAGUUUUUUAGUGCCCCUUCCUGGUCUUGGCUCCUUGGCUUCAGAAGCCAGCAUGGAAUAAUGAGGCAAUAGCACAGGAUUCAGAAACAAAAUAUCUGGAUUCAAUAACAAGGUUAAAAGUAUUAGCGGUGUGACCUUCAGCAGGCUAUUAAACCACUCGGAACCCUAGCUUACAUAAAAUGGGAACAACUUCGAAAUCAAGCAAGUUGGAGGAAUUAGAAAAUCUAAAAGCACCGUCAUCUAGAAAUACUGGAUAAAAUAUGAAAAAAAUUAAACAUAUGACUGAAUUCUCAAAAGGAAAGUAAAAUUCCAGGUGCCAGAAACAAAGAGGAAACUGAAAGCUGGAGGCUGAGCUGACUGUGGCCACGGUGACCAGAAGGCGGCUGGAGGGAAUGGGUUCUGUUAACUCAGGGCUUGAGUGCUUCCAGCCACCCGGGGACAGGAGACGAGGUCUUGGUCCUGAAGAGGUGGGGAAAUUAGAUGAAAGGAGCCAAAGCUGACUCAAGAAGAAAUUAAAAACCUGAACAGAUCUAUAAAUUCUAAUAAAUUAAAUGAGAAGCUAAAAAUGUACACGCACACAGCACCUAGAUGGUUCCUAGGUAUAUUAUUCUGCCAACUCUUAAAGGAACUAUUUAUUUAUUUAUUUAAACUACACCAGAUAACGGUAAAAGAGGAAAAUCUCACUUAUAAGACUAAAAGUCCUAAAUAAAAUAGUAGCAAACUGAAUCCAGUAAAGUUUGUGCAAGUGUGUGUAUAUAUGUAGGUAAGUGUGUGUGUGUGUGUACGUGUGUGUGUGUGUGUGUGUGUGUGUGACCAAGCAGGGGUUAUUCCAGGAAUGUAAGGAUGAUCUACUUAAAAAAUCUAUAAAUGAUAUUUACAACAUUGACAUAUUAAAGGGAAAAAAACCACGAUCGUCCCAAUAGGUACAGAGAACACAUUGGAUAAAGUUUAACCCUAAUUCAUCAUUUUAAAAAAAUCUAGCUAACUAGGAAUUGAAAAUAACAUCCAAUAUCAAGAUAAGAAUAUUAGUUUUUACUGUUUCUAUUCAACUCGUGUUAGGGAGUCUAAACUGGUACAAUAAGAAAGAGAAGAAAUAAAGCCAUCACUAUACAUAAAUGAUUGAUUGAUUAUUGACAAAGACAAUUUAUGAGAACCCACAAACAGAACCAGUACAGCCCUUUCUGGGGACAAGAUGAAUAUGCAAACACCAAUUUGCCUGUAUCAUAGCAACAAACAAAUGGAAGAUUUUGUUUUAAGAAAGUACCAUUUGUAAUAGCAACAAAAGCUGUAUGAUACUUAGGAAUAAGUAUAACAUAACAAAAUAUGUGCAUAUUUAUGGAGAAAAUUAUAAAAAUUUAUUGGAGAAUGUUUUGAAAAGACACAAAAGAAUGCUCAUGAAGAGGAAAGCUCAAUAUGAAGAUGGUAAUUUUUCUCAAAUCUAUAAAUUCAGUACAAUUCUAAUCAAAACCCCAGCCAGAUGUUUUAUGGAACUUGAUAAGCUGUUCUUAAAAUUUUUAUGGAAGAGUAAAUGCCCAAGAAAAGCCGAAACAAAUUUGAAGUGGAGGAAUACCAGAGUACUUGCCUUACCACAUAUCACAGCUUCCCUCUAAAGCUCAAGUGGUAAAGGCAGUGUGGUCCUCCAAUAGUGUAGACCACUGGUACAGGAAAGAACUUGUUGGAAUCAGACCCGCAAAGAUAUGAGAACUUGGCAUAUGACAAAAGUGACAUAGGUCAGUGGAAAAGGAUGAGCUAUUUGUUAAAGUGUCAGGUUAACCAGCUAUCCAAAUGGGAAAAAAAAAUAGAUCCCUACAUUACAACAUACCCCCAAAUAAAUUUCAGAUAGCUUAAAUACGUGAAAAACAAAACUUAAAACUGCUUGAAGAAGAUAUAAGACAAUAUAUUGUGAUAUUAGAGCAGGGAAGGAUUUCUUAAACAAGAUUCAAAAAGCACAAAUAAAGGAAAGAUGCACACAUAUGACUACAUUAAAAAAAAUUUUUUUAACCUCUAUAAGCCAAGAGACAUCACAACAAAAUAAAAAGACAAGCCACGGACUUGGAGAAUAUUUACAACCUAUAUGACCAGCAAAGGAUUUGUAUCCAGGAUUUAUAAAGAACUCUUGCCAAUCAAUAAGAAAAAGACAAGGCAGGCGAAAAUGAGAAAAAGAUAUCAGCAGCAAAGCACCAAAGGGGAAACUCAAAUGGCCAAUAAACAUAUGAAAAGAUGCUCAACUUCACUAGUAAUGAAGAGACGCAAAUCGAAACCAUGAGAUACGACUUUACACAUGCUAAAUCAGCAAAAUUAAAAUAACUCUGGUAACACCAAGUGUUGACAAAAAUGUGGGACAACAGGAAC